RNAcentral lists this ribosomal RNA (425 nucleotides) under uncultured cyanobacterium. RNAcentral describes it as "bacterial SSU rRNA". It matches the Rfam family "Bacterial small subunit ribosomal RNA", at positions 356 to 795 of the family's 1533-position model. Lineage: Bacteria; Bacillati; Cyanobacteriota. The record is from RNAcentral.
GGGGAAUUUUCCGCAAUGGGCGCAAGCCUGACGGAGCAACGCCGCGUGAGGGAGGAAGGCCUGUGGGUUGUAAACCUCUUUUCUCAAGGAAGAACACAAUGACGGUACUUGAGGAAUCAGCAUCGGCUAACUCCGUGCCAGCAGCCGCGGUAAGACGGAGGAUGCAAGCGUUAUCCGGAAUUAUUGGGCGUAAAGCGUCCGUAGGUGGUUAUAAAAGUCUGUUGUUAAAGCCCACAGCUCAACUGUGGAUCGGCAAUGGAAACUGUAUGACUUGAGUGUGGUAGGGGUAGAGGGAAUUCCUAGUGUAGCGGUGAAAUGCGUAGAUAUUAGGAAGAACACCAGUGGCGAAGGCGCUCUACUGGGCCAUAACUGACACUGAUGGACGAAAGCUAGGGGAGCGAAAGGGAUUAGAUACCCCUGUAGUC